RNAcentral lists this ribosomal RNA (890 nucleotides) under uncultured phototrophic eukaryote. RNAcentral's name for it is "bacterial SSU rRNA". It matches the Rfam family "Bacterial small subunit ribosomal RNA", at positions 9 to 931 of the family's 1533-position model. The record is from RNAcentral.
GAGUUUGAUCAUGGCUCAGGAUGAACGCUGGCGGCAUGCUUUACACAUGCAAGUUGAACGAAUUAAAGUUUUCGAAUUUUAGUUAAGUAGCGAACGGGUGAGUAAAACGUAAGAAUCUAUUUUUAGGUGAGGAAUAACUAAUGGAAACGUUAGCUAAUACCUUAUAAACUGAGAAGUGAAAAACUAAAAAUUGCCUAAAAGUGAGCUUGCGCCUGAUUAGCUUGUUGGUAAGAUAAUCGCUUACCAAAGCGACGAUCAGUAGUUGAUCUAAGAGGAUAAUCAACCACACUGGGACUGAGAUACGGCCCAGACCUCUACGGAGGGCAGCAGUGAGGAAUUUUCCGCAAUGGGCGAAAGCCUGACGGAGCAAUGCCGCGUGAAGGAUGAAGGCCUAUGGGUCGUAAACUUCUUUUCUUAAUGAAGAAAUAAGACGGUAAUUAAGGAGUAAGCAUCGGCUAACUCCGUGCCAGCAGCCGCGGUAAUACGGAGGAUGCAAGCGUUAUCCGGAAUUAUUGGGCGUAAAGGGUUUGUAGGCUACUUUUUAAGUCUACUGUUAAAGAAUAAGACUUAACCUUAGAAAAGCAGUAUGAAACUAAAAGGAUAGAGUUCAGUAGGGGUAGAGGGAAUUCUCGGUGUAGUAGUGAAAUGCGUAGAUAUCGAGAGGAACACCAAUAGCGAAAGCACUCUACUAGGCUGUAACUGACGCUAAGAAACGAAAGCUAGGGGAGCCAAUGGGAUUAGAUACCCCAGUAGUCCUAGCUGUAAACGAUGGAUACUAAGUAUUGGAUAAUAAAAAAUUCAGUGCUGUAGCUAACGCGUUAAGUAUCCCGCCUGGGGAGUAUGCCCGCAAGGGUGAAACUCAAAGGAAUUGACGGGGGCCCGCACAAGCG